Molecule: long non-coding RNA, 1148 nt
Filed under: Ananas comosus (pineapple)
Lineage: Eukaryota; Viridiplantae; Streptophyta; Magnoliopsida; Poales; Bromeliaceae
Description: long non-coding RNA (ACOM_LNC006736)
Source: RNAcentral
UUAGCUACCACCUCCAUGGUUUUGCAGUUUCUCACUUUAGUACCCUAUGGUUUAAAGUGUAUCAAAUUAGUGUCAUGUGGUUUUAUUUUUUUUUCGUCAGCUUUUCUGAUAAUAUUUUGUUAAAUUAUAUGCAAAAAAAACUUCAGAUAUCCCACCUAGAUUUAUUGAAUAUUCACUUCAGUAUUCUUUAGUUUUAACUUUAUCAUUGAUUUAACGAAAAAAAUUAGUAUAAUCGAUAAUAAAAAGAUAAAAAUAAAAUCAUAUAUCACUAAAUUGAUACACUUUAAACUAUAGGGUACUAAAGUGAGAAAAUGUGGUAUUUGAAGUUUUUCCUAAAAAUAUCGUGAGCCAAAGAUGCUUCUCCUCACUGCUGACGUGGCACCUCCUCGUAAUUAAAAAGAAUAUACAUGCUGAUGUGGCACCACCGACAUUAAAAAAAAAAAAAAAAAAAAAAAAACGCGUUAUACUACCUCACUAGUUUUGGACAAACAAACAAAGAGAAAUAUAACUACCACAAAUAAUAAUAAUAAAAUUAAUUAACAUAUCACAUGCACGUACGUAGUAACCAGUUGGAGGAGGAUGAGUCCAUCUCGGACUUUUUUCGAAAAUAACCCUAUGAAAUUUUGUAAUUGGCAAAAUAACCCUCUGAAAAUUUUAUUUAUGAAACUAACCCUCCUCUCGCCACCUCAGCCGCCACCUCAGCAUUUCUCAUAAAGACGGUGACUCGUUCACCGUCUUUAUUGAAGACGGUAAAUGAUUCACCGUCUUCUCUAGGCGUGGACCCUUCACCGCCUUCUCAGCAAUUCCCCGCGUACCAGCGCCUUCGCAGCAAUUCGACGAGAAGACGGUGACUCGUUUACCGUCUUAACAAAGGCGGUGAAUCGUAUACCGCCUUAUCUAGGCGUACACCAUUCGCCGCCUUCUCAGUGUUGCCCCCGCCCAAAUAAGACGGUGACUUGUUCACCGUCUUUACUUAAUCUUGAAGACGGUAAGUAGUUCACCGUAUUCUCUAGGCGUGGAACCUCCACCGCCUUCUCAGCAAUUCCCCGCGUAUCACCGCCUUCUCAGCAAUUCGCCGCGGAGAAGACGGUGACUCGUUUAUCUCUUUAAGAAAGACGGUAAGUCGUUUACCGCCUUAUCUAGGCGUA